CCGUCUGGCUCAACUGGUAGAACAUGGCGUGAACACCGCCAGGGUCAGGGGUUCGAUUCCCCACUCAUGGUGGCCA
Non-coding RNA from Merluccius polli (Benguela hake), 76 nucleotides. The record is from the annotation of a GenBank genome assembly. NCBI's taxonomy places the organism in Eukaryota, Metazoa, Chordata, Actinopteri, Gadiformes, Merlucciidae.